Long non-coding RNA from Harmonia axyridis, 650 nucleotides. RefSeq lists it as uncharacterized. The record is from RefSeq and is a predicted model, not a curated record. NCBI's taxonomy places the organism in Eukaryota, Metazoa, Arthropoda, Insecta, Coleoptera, Coccinellidae. The transcript is spliced from 2 exons.
ACUGUUAACGGAUCUACCUACCAAGUAACACACUUCGCAGAUUUUUUUUAAUCAUCAUAUGAUAUUAAGUUUUUAGUUCAAACCGUCACAACUUCUCUAUGUAUAUUUUUGUAUUUCGAGACUAAAGAAAACCUAUGACGUUUGUCAACUUCAGUCAACAUUUUGAAAGAAGCACCAAAUGUCCAGUGAAUUUUAACAUGCACAAUAAGUUUCCCUAUAUAUUUGAAAAUGACCAAAACUAAGAAACAUUUUCAUCUCGAUUACAAAUUAUGUACCCUUAUGAAGCUGUUCUAAGUGCAUUCCCUAUUUUAUACUACAUUGGAGUUUUACCUAAAGCAUGCUGUCGAUUCAUAUUAUUUUUGAUUAUGGUUAGAAAAGUAUUUCGUGAUGUUCAGCGAUGUCAAAUGUGUAGCAGACAAUUAUUACUGGCUUCAUCUAUGGGUGGUUUUACUGAAGCCCUCUUAUUUCCAAUCUUAUGGUUUAUGGAAUAUCUGCCAGACCAAGCAAGAUAUAUUCUAGCCGCAUGUCUUUUCAUGAAGUUGUUAGGUGAUGUUUGGGCAUUUCAGAAAAAACAACGUCGUCGUCGUUGAUGUCAUAUUUCACCUAAUGAAGAACUUAUUCCAACCAAAUAAAAUGUUUUUAUUCCCACA